Balaenoptera musculus (blue whale) is the source of this 2391-nucleotide RNA transcript. It is a transcript of the gene named BCL2 interacting protein like, with no coding region annotated. Lineage: Eukaryota; Metazoa; Chordata; Mammalia; Artiodactyla; Balaenopteridae. The record is from RefSeq and is a predicted model, not a curated record. The transcript has 10 exons.
CUUCUUUCUGCUGUACUUACUGUCUUCCUUCUGUUGACUCUUUUUGGGAAUAAGGAGCAACAGUCUUAUGUCUCCCCUCAUCCUCAGCCUUUCCUUUAGUUUGUUUCUUCCAGAACCCUCUUUAUAACAUACUUCUGUGUCCUUGAUUUUGCUUAUGCUUGAGAAGUAGGCCCACGAUAGUCUUAAAACUAAAAUGGUUGCUACCAUUACUUUUUUUUUUUUAAAGCAGCUUCCAGAAGGUUUUAAGGAGUCUAGAAAAUUGCCUUCCUCGACUCACCCAAGACUAGCCGCUUUAGAAUAUGUAGUCUCCUCCCCAGAACCCGCCCCAAUAGGCAUGGUUUCUCUUUUGUGCAAACCUGCUUCUUGGGAAGGGAGGUGGCAAAACCUGUUUGAAGGUGAGGUUACUUACCUCCCUUCCACCCUUCCCUCCUCCUUGGAGGCAAGAGCAACAAUAGCUGAGACAGAAAAAGGGGAUACAGACGUGUUGGGGAGCUGAGACAUCCGGCUCCCCGACAACUCCAAGUGUUUAAAGGCGACAGGAAGACUUCUGAAGAUGGGAACUGUACAAGAGGAAGGAGAAAAGACAUUAGAUCUCAGGGUCAGGGAGAAUGCAGAAACAGCUGUACUAGGAGCAUCCUUGAGACUUGGGGAACUGGAGCUGAAGGAAGACUGGCAGGAUGAAGAAUUCCCUAGAUUGCUUCCUGAAGAGGCUGACCCUUCUGGAGAUCCUCAUAAUCCUGAAAGAGACUCACAGGCAGGAACCCCCAGCACUUUAGCCCCGUGUGGCCAGCGCCCCAUGCGUAAGCGUCUUUGUGCCCCAGAGUUGCGACUGAAUCUGACUAAGGGGCCUGGAGAUAACGGAGCUUCUCCCACCCACUCUGUACCUUCCUCUCCUGAUGGCAGUUCUGACCUGGAGAUAGACGAGUUGGAGACACCUUCAGACUCGGAGCAGCUGGACAGUGGACAUGAAUUUGAACGGGAAGAUGAGCUGCCCCAGGCAGAGGGCCUGGGGGCCAGUGAGGCAGCUGAAAGGCUGGGCCAGGGUUGUAUGUGGGAUGUGGCUGGAGAAGACGGUCAUUGCUGGAGGGUGUUCCGAACAGGACAGCGGGAGCAGCGAGUGGACAUGACCGUCAUUGAGCCCUAUAAGAAAGUCCUAUCUCAUGGAGGCUACCAUGGUGAUGGCCUCAAUGUUGUCAUCCUCUUUGCUUCCUGUUAUCUACCCAGAAGCAGCAUCCCCGACUACACCUAUGUCAUGGAACACUUGUUUAGGUAUAUGGUGGGUACUCUGGAGCUACUGAUAGCUGAAAAUUAUCUGCUUGUUCACCUGAGUGGAGGCACAAGUAGGGCCCAAGUUCCACCUCUGAGCUGGAUACGCCAGUGUUACCACACCCUGGAUCGGCGGCUUCGGAAAAACUUGCAUGCCCUGGUGGUUGUCCAUGCUACAUGGUAUGUGAAGGCAUUCCUGACACUGCUUCGGCCCUUCAUCAGGAUCUCCAGGAGCCCUCUUCCCCAUAUAAAACACACUUGGUUGAUCCUCUCUUUUUAGUUCCAAGUUCACACGGAAGAUCCGUUUUCUGAAUAGCCUUGGAGAGCUGGCCCAACUCAUCUCCUUGGAUCAGGUCCACAUCCCAGAAGCUGUCAGACGGCUGGACCAGGAUCUCCAUGGCUCAGGAGGGACCUAGCAUAGGACUGGAAUAAUGAGCUUAAGAACCAAGCAAAGAUAUUGAUCUGAUUACACCCUAAACCCUGAAACAUCUGAGCUGUUUUGUAAAUCAACUCAUCCUCAAUCCCAGUACCACUGGAUCUUCACAUCUCAAUGGGAUGUCAUUCCUUCCAUGACCCUGACUUCAAAGCAGGGCUCUGAGGUUGGGAACCUGAUGUGCUGGGUGACUUUCAUUUCAGCUGGAGGGGUGCAUGUUGUGGCAUUUUAUAUAGGACAGUGCAAAGCUGUGCUGCUUUAGCUGUAGAACCUUGGGCAAAUAACCUCCUCUCUUUGAGUCUGAGAUCCUUUCCACCUGGGGUAUUCUAGCAGUCUGUGAAGGUGAGGGGUGGAUGGGGAGGGCAGGGCUCCUGCUGGGAGCCAGGAGUCAGUGCUCUAAAUGUUGAAGAGCCAUUCUGUUUCCCUCUUUCCUUCAGUAGUCUCAUCUGCUGCCUGUGAGCCUGGGGAGGGGCAUUUUCAAAACCUGUAUUUUGUCCUCUUUAUUAAAUUCAGAUCUGUAGCGAUUAAUAAACUGCGAUGAGAGAUUCAAGCGCCGCGCCGAGGAAGUGUACUACUCUUUCCCCAGCCCCUUGCAUCACAAUCCGUCUGUCGGUUCUGGCACAGGAGUUCUUGCUGCAGAGGUUCCCUGGGAUUUUCAGCUGAGCCCCUGGGCCUGCCGGAGCUGACCCGGG